GACGAACGCUGGCGGCGUGCCUAAUACAUGCAAGUUGAGCGCUGAAGGUUGGUACUUGUACCGACUGGAUGAGCAGCGAACGGGGGAGUAAAGCGUGGGGAAUCUGCCUUUGAGCGGGGGACAACAUUUGGAAACGAAUGCUAAUACCGCAUAAAAACUUUAAACACAAGUUUUAAGUUUUAAAGAUGCAAUUGCAUCACUCAAAGAUGAUCCCGCGUUGUAUUAGCUAGUUGGUGAGGGAAAGGCUCACCAAGGCGUAGAUAGAUAGCCGACCUGAGAGGGUGAGCGGCCACAGUGGGACUGAGACACGGCCCAGACUCAUACGGGAGGCAGCAGUAGGGAAGCUUAGGAAAUGGAAGAAAGUCUGACCGAGCAACGCCGCGGGAGUGAAGAAGGUUUUCGGAUCGGAAAACUAUGUCGGUAGAGAAGAACGUUGGUGAGAGUGGAAAGCUCAUCAAGUGACGGUAACUACCCAGAAAGGGACGGCUAACUACGUG
This 497-nucleotide ribosomal RNA is filed under the name uncultured bacterium. RNAcentral describes it as "partial 16S ribosomal RNA". It matches the Rfam family "Bacterial small subunit ribosomal RNA", at positions 28 to 507 of the family's 1533-position model. The record is from RNAcentral.